RNAcentral lists this ribosomal RNA (1373 nucleotides) under Lactiplantibacillus plantarum. Its description in RNAcentral is "bacterial SSU rRNA". It matches the Rfam family "Bacterial small subunit ribosomal RNA", at positions 24 to 1363 of the family's 1533-position model. The record is from RNAcentral. Lineage: Bacteria; Bacillati; Bacillota; Bacilli; Lactobacillales; Lactobacillaceae.
UCAGGACGAACGCUGGCGGCGUGCCUAAUACAUGCAAGUCGAACGAACUCUGGUAUUGAUUGGUGCUUGCAUCAUGAUUUACAUUUGAGUGAGUGGCGAACUGGUGAGUAACACGUGGGAAACCUGCCCAGAAGCGGGGGAUAACACCUGGAAACAGAUGCUAAUACCGCAUAACAACUUGGACCGCAUGGUCCGAGUUUGAAAGAUGGCUUCGGCUAUCACUUUUGGAUGGUCCCGCGGCGUAUUAGCUAGAUGGUGGGGUAACGGCUCACCAUGGCAAUGAUACGUAGCCGACCUGAGAGGGUAAUCGGCCACAUUGGGACUGAGACACGGCCCAAACUCCUACGGGAGGCAGCAGUAGGGAAUCUUCCACAAUGGACGAAAGUCUGAUGGAGCAACGCCGCGUGAGUGAAGAAGGGUUUCGGCUCGUAAAACUCUGUUGUUAAAGAAGAACAUAUCUGAGAGUAACUGUUCAGGUAUUGACGGUAUUUAACCAGAAAGCCACGGCUAACUACGUGCCAGCAGCCGCGGUAAUACGUAGGUGGCAAGCGUUGUCCGGAUUUAUUGGGCGUAAAGCGAGCGCAGGCGGUUUUUUAAGUCUGAUGUGAAAGCCUUCGGCUCAACCGAAGAAGUGCAUCGGAAACUGGGAAACUUGAGUGCAGAAGAGGACAGUGGAACUCCAUGUGUAGCGGUGAAAUGCGUAGAUAUAUGGAAGAACACCAGUGGCGAAGGCGGCUGUCUGGUCUGUAACUGACGCUGAGGCUCGAAAGUAUGGGUAGCAAACAGGAUUAGAUACCCUGGUAGUCCAUACCGUAAACGAUGAAUGCUAAGUGUUGGAGGGUUUCCGCCCUUCAGUGCUGCAGCUAACGCAUUAAGCAUUCCGCCUGGGGAGUACGGCCGCAAGGCUGAAACUCAAAGGAAUUGACGGGGGCCCGCACAAGCGGUGGAGCAUGUGGUUUAAUUCGAAGCUACGCGAAGAACCUUACCAGGUCUUGACAUACUAUGCAAAUCUAAGAGAUUAGACGUUCCCUUCGGGGACAUGGAUACAGGUGGUGCAUGGUUGUCGUCAGCUCGUGUCGUGAGAUGUUGGGUUAAGUCCCGCAACGAGCGCAACCCUUAUUAUCAGUUGCCAGCAUUAAGUUGGGCACUCUGGUGAGACUGCCGGUGACAAACCGGAGGAAGGUGGGGAUGACGUCAAAUCAUCAUGCCCCUUAUGACCUGGGCUACACACGUGCUACAAUGGAUGGUACAACGAGUUGCGAACUCGCGAGAGUAAGCUAAUCUCUUAAAGCCAUUCUCAGUUCGGAUUGUAGGCUGCAACUCGCCUACAUGAAGUCGGAAUCGCUAGUAAUCGCGGAUCAGCAUGCCGCGGG